Mobula hypostoma (lesser devil ray) is the source of this 338-nucleotide long non-coding RNA. RefSeq lists it as uncharacterized. NCBI's taxonomy places the organism in Eukaryota, Metazoa, Chordata, Chondrichthyes, Myliobatiformes, Myliobatidae. The transcript has 3 exons. The record is from RefSeq and is a predicted model, not a curated record.
UGUGGAUUUUAUCCAAGGAUGUGAAUGUACCUCAAAAAACUGAAAAUCACUGUUAGUUUGCGCGGCCUUGGGGGAGAAGGCAUGAGGAGGAUGAAGAGAGAAGACCUGGCUUGAGGAGACGGUUGCCGGACCCGCUGGGCCUGGGCUCGGGGCGGGAGCCCAGGGGCUGACUAGCGAAUGAGGAUCAGCGAAAGAGAAUCCGAAUCACUAAGACAUCAGUGGAAAACAUGCAAGGGAACAGCUGGUGAAGUUCAGUUGACAUCAGACGAAGAGCCAUGGUAAAAGCAGCACUAAUACAAAGUACUUUUUAAAUUAAUUAAAUUAAUUACUUGAAGCAA